UAUCCAGCGGUGUUAGGGCACUAAGAAUUUUGAUUUCUUAAGAGAGGUUCGUUACCUCCUGAU
Molecule: transfer RNA, 63 nt
Filed under: Conus ebraeus
Lineage: Eukaryota; Metazoa; Mollusca; Gastropoda; Neogastropoda; Conidae
Description: tRNA-Gln
Source: RNAcentral